CCUACGGGCGGCUGCAGUGGGGAAUAUUGGACAAUGGGCGAAAGCCUGAUCCAGCCAUGCCGCGUGUGUGAAGAAGGCCUUCGGGUUGUAAAGCACUUUCAGUGGGGAAGAAAGCCUUGGGGCUAAUACCCUCGAGGAAGGACAUCACCCACAGAAGAAGCACCGGCUAACUCCGUGCCAGCAGCCGCGGUAAUACGGAGGGUGCGAGCGUUAAUCGGAAUUACUGGGCGUAAAGCGCGCGUAGGCGGUCUGAUAAGCCGGUUGUGAAAGCCCCGGGAUCAACCUGGGAACGGCAUCCGGAACUGUCAGGCUAGAGUGCAGGAGAGGAAGGUAGAAUUCCCGGUGUAGCGGUGAAAUGCGUAGAGAGCGGGAGGAAUACCAGUGGCGAAGGCGGUCUUCUGGACUGACACUGACGCUGAGGUGCGAAAGCGUGGGUAGCAAACAGGAUUAGAUACCCGGGUAGUC
RNAcentral lists this ribosomal RNA (465 nucleotides) under Vreelandella stevensii. RNAcentral's name for it is "partial 16S ribosomal RNA". It matches the Rfam family "Bacterial small subunit ribosomal RNA", at positions 338 to 795 of the family's 1533-position model. The record is from RNAcentral. Lineage: Bacteria; Pseudomonadati; Pseudomonadota; Gammaproteobacteria; Oceanospirillales; Halomonadaceae.